AUUUCCUCAAUAUAAUUCAUUUGCGUUUUUACAUAUAAAACACCAAAACGGAAUAUAAACUGAAGCCUUACUUUUUAAAUUCACAUAUUUAAUUGUGACAUAUCAUGUGUAUUUCGUUACUUUCAAAUUCCAUUCGAAUACGGAAUUCCAUUUCCCUACUCAUUUAUUCACAUUCAAAAACUAUGACAUUGCUUCUUCCAAGCAAGACUUUAUUCUAGGAGCUCCAGGAGUCAAACCAAAAACUCAUUUGUCUCAGGAAGAGGGGAUAUCACCACAUCUAAGGAGCUGCCUGACUAGAUCUUGCUUAUUAUGUAUAAAGCGUGACACCAUGGCCAUA
Molecule: long non-coding RNA, 337 nt
Organism: Leopardus geoffroyi (Geoffroy's cat)
Lineage: Eukaryota; Metazoa; Chordata; Mammalia; Carnivora; Felidae
Exons: 2
Source: RefSeq, a predicted model, not a curated record